UUGACCCGAAAGAUGGUGAACUAUGCCUGAAUAGGGCGAAGCCAGAGGAAACUCUGGUGGAAGCUCGUAGCGAUUCUGACGUGCAAAUCGAUCGUCAAAUUUGGGUAUAGGGGCGAAAGACUAAUCGAACCAUCUAGUAGCUGGUUCCCUCCGAAGUUUCCCUCAGGAUAGCUGGAGCCCGGUGCAGUUUUAUCAGGUAAAGCGAAUGAUUAGAGGUCUUGGGGUUGAAACAACCUCAACCUAUUCUCAAACUUUAAAUGGGUAAGAAGCUCGGCUUGCUUAGUUGAAGUCGGGCCCGGAAUGCCGGGGCUUCUAGUGGGCCAUUUUUGGUAAGCAGAACUGGCGAUGCGGGAUGAACCGAAAGCUGGGUUAAGGUGCCCGAGUCGACGCUCAUCAGAUACCAUGAAAGGUGUUGGUUGAUCUAGACAGCAGGACGGUGGCCAUGGAAGUCGGAAUCCGCUAAGGAGUGUGUAACAACUCACCUGCCGAGUCAACUAGCCCUGAAAAUGGAUGGCGCUGAAGCGUCGCACCCAUACCCGGCCGUCGGGCUGAGGGGCAUGGCCCGACGAGUAGGAGGGCGCGGUGGUGGCUGUGCAGCCUUGGGCGCGAGCCUGGGUGAAGCCGCC
This 626-nucleotide ribosomal RNA is filed under the name Axinella corrugata. RNAcentral's name for it is "partial large subunit ribosomal RNA". It matches the Rfam family "Eukaryotic large subunit ribosomal RNA", at positions 811 to 1437 of the family's 3401-position model. Lineage: Eukaryota; Metazoa; Porifera; Demospongiae; Axinellida; Axinellidae. The record is from RNAcentral.